CGCUCGACAUCAGAGUUUGAUCCUGGCUCAGGACGAACGCUGGCGGCGUGCCUAACACAUGCAAGUCGAACGGAGAGGCUAAGAACAAGACUUCGGUCAAGUGAUUAGUUUUCUUAGUGGCGGACGGGUGAGUAACGCGUGAGCAAUCUGCCUUUUAGAGGGGGAUAACGUUCUGAAAAGAACGCUAAUACCGCAUAAUGUAUCGGGAUGGCAUCUUCCUGAUACCAAAGGAGCAAUCCGCUGAAAGAUGAGCUCGCGUCUGAUUAGAUAGUUGGUGGGGUAACGGCCUACCAAGUCGACGAUCAGUAGCCGGACUGAGAGGUUGAACGGCCACAUUGGGACUGAGACACGGCCCAG
This 357-nucleotide ribosomal RNA is filed under the name uncultured bacterium. Its description in RNAcentral is "bacterial SSU rRNA". It matches the Rfam family "Bacterial small subunit ribosomal RNA", at positions 1 to 334 of the family's 1533-position model. The record is from RNAcentral.